ACGAACGCUGGCGGCGUGCUUCACACAUGCAAGUCGAACGGUGAAGGGGUCUGCUUUUGUGGGCCCUGGAUGAGUGGCGAACGGGUGAGUAACACGUGAGUAACCUGCCCCCUUCUUCUGGAUAACCGCAUGAAAGUGUGGCUAAUACGGGAUAUUCUGGGUCUGUCGCAUGAUGGGUCUGGGAAAGAUUGCGCCUUUGGGUGUUUUUGGUGGGGGAUGGGCUCGCGGCCUAUCAGCUUGUUGGUGGGGUGAUGGCCUACCAAGGCGGUGACGGGUAGCCGGCCUGAGAGGGUGGACGGUCACACUGGGACUGAGACACGGCCCAGACUCCUACGGGAGGCAGCAGUGGGGAAUAUUGCACAAUGGGCGCAAGCCUGAUGCAGCGACGCCGCGUGAGGGAGGGAGGCCUUCGGGUUGUAAACCUCUUUCGCCAGUGAAGCAGGCCUGCUCCUUGUGGGUGGGUUGACGGUAGCUGGAUAAGAAGCGCCGGCUAACUACGUG
This 501-nucleotide ribosomal RNA is filed under the name uncultured bacterium. Its description in RNAcentral is "partial 16S ribosomal RNA". It matches the Rfam family "Bacterial small subunit ribosomal RNA", at positions 29 to 507 of the family's 1533-position model. The record is from RNAcentral.